GAAAUUCAUCUGUUCCCACAUAGGUGGUGAAGUUCCAUGGAUUUCUGGCUUCCUCUCCACAAAUCAACCCUGGAGUAACUGAAGUUUGAGCAUUGGAUUGUGGGAACCAAGUGAAAAGCCAUAACAAAAUUCUUGGGAAAUGAAAAGCUGUAUAUGUGUGUGUGUGUGUGUGUGUGUGUGUGUGUUUACAGCCUGGGGUAGAGGGCUAGCAGUGGCAGUUGAAGCACCAAUUAGGGAAACUUUUCUUUUUAAAAGAUUUUUGCCUUUGCCUUUAUGUACCAUGAAUCUAAGAUUAUCAUUGCCUACUCCUUCACUAUAGAAAGCAGCAACAAAAGGCUAGACCAAUAGUCAGGUGUCUGGAAGGUAACAU
This 370-nucleotide long non-coding RNA is filed under the name Homo sapiens (human). RNAcentral's name for it is "non-protein coding lnc-MED13-2:1". Lineage: Eukaryota; Metazoa; Chordata; Mammalia; Primates; Hominidae. The record is from RNAcentral.